GCCUGGGUGGCUCAGUCGGUUAAGCAUCUGACUUUGGCUCAGGUCAUGAUCUCACAUUCUGUGAGUUCAAGCCCCACGUCGGGCU
Transfer RNA from Felis catus (domestic cat), 85 nucleotides. It matches the Rfam family "tRNA". From Rfam's summary of the family: Transfer RNA (tRNA) molecules are approximately 80 nucleotides in length. Their secondary structure includes four short double-helical elements and three loops (D, anti-codon, and T loops). The record is from Rfam. Lineage: Eukaryota; Metazoa; Chordata; Mammalia; Carnivora; Felidae.